AAUCAACGCUGGCGGCGUGCCUAACACAUGCAAGUCGAACGCGAGAGGGGCUUCGGCCCUGAUUGAGUGGCAAACGGGUGAGUAACGCGUGGGUGACCUACCUUCGAGUGGGGGAUAACGUUCCGAAAGGGACGCUAAUACCGCAUAACAUCCUGUCUUUGGACAGACGGAGAUCAAAGCCGGGGAUCGUAAGACCUGGCGCUUGAGGAGGGGCCCGCGUCCGAUUAGCUAGUUGGUGGGGUAAUGGCUCACCAAGGCAACGAUCGGUAGCCGGCCUGAGAGGGCGGACGGCCACACUGGGACUGAGACACGGCCCAGACUCCUACGGGAGGCAGCAGUGGGGAAUUGUUCGCAAUGGGCGCAAGCCUGACGACGCAACGCCGCGUGAAGGAUGAAGGUCUUCGGAUUUGUAAACUUCUGUUGAUCGGGACGAACAGCCAAGGGAUCAAUACCCC
RNAcentral lists this ribosomal RNA (455 nucleotides) under uncultured bacterium. Its description in RNAcentral is "bacterial SSU rRNA". It matches the Rfam family "Bacterial small subunit ribosomal RNA", at positions 32 to 470 of the family's 1533-position model. The record is from RNAcentral.